GCUUAACACAUGCAAGUCGCACGAGAACGCUUCAGCUUGCUGGAGCUAGUAAAGUGGCGCACGGGUGAGUAACGCGUGGGUAAUCUACCUCCAAAUUGGGGAUAACAUUGCGAAAGCGAUGCUAAUACCGAAUAAUAUCUUAAAAACUUCGGUUUUUGAGAUCAAAGGUGGCCUCUCCAUGGAAGCUACUGUUAGGAGAUGAGCCCGCGUACCAUUAGCUUGUUGGUAGGGUAAUGGCCUACCAAGGCAACGAUGGUUAGCUGGUCUGAGAGGAUGAUCAGCCACACUGGAACUGACACACGGUCCAGACUCCUACGGGAGGCAGCAGUGAGGAAUUUUGCGCAAUGGGGGAAACCCUGACGCAGCAACGCCGCGUGAGUGAUGAAGGCUUUCGGGUCGUAAAGCUCUGUCAAGUGGGAAGAACCUGCCCUGUGCUAAUAUCACCGGGCACUGACGGUACCACUGAAGGAAGCACCGGCUAACUCCGUG
This 489-nucleotide ribosomal RNA is filed under the name uncultured bacterium. RNAcentral describes it as "bacterial SSU rRNA". It matches the Rfam family "Bacterial small subunit ribosomal RNA", at positions 46 to 507 of the family's 1533-position model. The record is from RNAcentral.